UUCUCAUGAUGAAAACCUUUUUGUCAGUUCUGCUUCUGAGUAUCUGUGGUGAUAUCUAUAGUGUUCUGAAGA
Small nucleolar RNA from Mobula hypostoma (lesser devil ray), 72 nucleotides. Lineage: Eukaryota; Metazoa; Chordata; Chondrichthyes; Myliobatiformes; Myliobatidae. The record is from RefSeq and is a predicted model, not a curated record.